Molecule: transfer RNA, 104 nt
Filed under: Nitrososphaerota archaeon
Lineage: Archaea; Thermoproteati; Nitrososphaerota
Description: Thaumarchaeota archaeon tRNA-Phe
Rfam family: tRNA (bases 29-104)
About the family: Transfer RNA (tRNA) molecules are approximately 80 nucleotides in length.
Source: RNAcentral
GCCGCGGUAGCUCAGCCUGCUAAACGAGGCUAAGGAGACUAAACGAGCUCGUAAGCAUCCGGCUGAAGACCGGAGUGUCGUCGGCUCAAAUCCGACCCGCGGCA